UACAGAGGUCUCAAGCGUUGUUCGGAUUCAUUGGGCGUAAAGGGUGCGUAGGCGGCGUGGUAAGUCGGGUGUGAAAUCUCGGAGCUUAACUCCGAAACUGCAUUCGAUACUGCCGUGCUUGAGGACUGGAGAGGAGACUGGAAUUUACGGUGUAGCGGUGAAAUGCGCAGAUAUCGGGAGGAACACCAGUAGCGAAGGCGGCACUCUGGGCCGGUACUGACGCUGAGGAGCGAAAGCGUGGGGAGCGAACAGG
This 253-nucleotide ribosomal RNA is filed under the name uncultured bacterium. RNAcentral's name for it is "partial 16S ribosomal RNA". It matches the Rfam family "Bacterial small subunit ribosomal RNA", at positions 524 to 776 of the family's 1533-position model. The record is from RNAcentral.